Molecule: ribosomal RNA, 252 nt
Filed under: uncultured bacterium
Lineage: Bacteria
Description: partial 16S ribosomal RNA
Rfam family: Bacterial small subunit ribosomal RNA
Source: RNAcentral
UACGGGGGGGCAAGCGUUGUUCGGAAUUACUGGGCGUAAAGGGCUCGUAGGCGGCCCUCUCAGUCGGAUGUGAAAUCCCCAGGCUUAACCUGGGAACGGCAUCCGAUACUGGAGGGCUUGAAUUCGGGAGAGGGAUGCAGAAUUCCAGGUUUAGCGGUGAAAUGCGUAGAUAUCAAGUGGAACACCAGUGGCGAAGGCGAGUCUCUGGACAUUUCCUGACGCUGAGGCACGAAAGCCAGGGGAGCAAACGGG